Molecule: long non-coding RNA, 647 nt
Filed under: Physcomitrium patens
Lineage: Eukaryota; Viridiplantae; Streptophyta; Bryopsida; Funariales; Funariaceae
Description: long non-coding RNA (PPAT_LNC009497)
Source: RNAcentral
CGGAAUCUCGGACUGGUGGGUCGGUUGUUGUCGGACAGGUUGUCAUGCCUCCAUCACCGCCUACAGACGAGGAAAUUGAGCAGGUGAGGUUUCAGGCAGUUUAUGAGUCCGUCGUUUUCUCUCGACAGACUUGCACUGGUUCAAGUUCUCCUGAUUGCUUCGGCGUGUUGGAGCAGAAUAACAAUUUUGUCCAUGAGCGGCACUUCAGUUCAUUGCGGCGCCUUUGUUCCGUGGUAAGUUGACACUUUUGGUACCUGCUACUGAUCAUUUUUGGACCGUGAGGAAUCACCCAUUCUUAUGCGAUUCAGAAGUUGAACUUCACUUUUGAUCCUCUAUUGCACUGAUAAAGCACGCAAUUAUCAUGCAUUUUGGUUGUUCUGAUCAAUAGAAGUAGUCUUAGCAACCAUUUACAAUUAAUAUGAAAGAUUCGUACCAUUAAAAUCAGUACAUCGAAUAGUACAGCUUGCUAGUUAUAUUCAGUGUGAGUUAUCAAUUGCAUUCACUGUUUUCUUUUCAUGCAUUUUGCUACUUUGUUUCGUAAAAUUAGGGUGUAUCAAGUAAUUCUUCAUCAUUGUUUAAAUUAUUAGUUUGUUUGUAUAGGUGUUACAUAAAUGAAAUUUUUAUCAUGAAAUAUCAUGAUUUCAAAA